AGUGAACGCUGGCGGCGUGCCUAAUACAUGCAAGUCGAACGAUGAAGUCCUAGCUUGCUAGGAUGGAUUAGUGGCGCACGGGUGAGUAAUAUAUAGUUAAUCUGCCCUACACAGAGGAACAACAGUUGGAAACGGCUGCUAAUACCUCAUACUCCUAUUUGACAUAAGUUAAAUAGGGAAAGUCUUUUCGGUGUAGGAUGAGACUAUAUCGUAUCAGCUAGUUGGUAAGGUAAUGGCUUACCAAGGCUAUGACGCGUAACUGGUCUGAGAGGAUGAUCAGUCACAUUGGAACUGAGACACGGUCCAAACUCCUACGGGAGGCAGCAGUAAGGAAUAUUGCGCAAUGGGGGAAACCCUGACGCAGCAACGCCGCGUGGAGGAUGACACUUUUCGGAGCGUAAACUCCUUUUAUCAGGAAAGAAUAAUGACGGUACCUGAUGAAUAAGCACCGGCUAACUCCGUGCCAGCAGCCGCGGUAAUACGGGGGGUGCAAGCGUUACUCGGAAUCACUGGGCGUAAAGGACGCGUAGGCGGAUUAUCAAGCCUUUUGUGAAAUCUAGUGGCUUAACCACUAAACUGCUUAGGAAACUGAUAGUCUAGAGUAGGGGAGAGGUAGAUGGAAUUCUUGGUGUAGGGGUAAAAUCCGUAGAGAUCAAGAAGAGUACCCAUUGCGAAAGCGAUCUGCUGGAACCAACUGACGCUGAGGCGUGAAAGCGUGGGUAGCAAACAGG
RNAcentral lists this ribosomal RNA (731 nucleotides) under uncultured Campylobacter sp. RNAcentral's name for it is "bacterial SSU rRNA". It matches the Rfam family "Bacterial small subunit ribosomal RNA", at positions 28 to 776 of the family's 1533-position model. Lineage: Bacteria; Pseudomonadati; Campylobacterota; Epsilonproteobacteria; Campylobacterales; Campylobacteraceae. The record is from RNAcentral.